GGCCUAACACAUGCAAGUCGAGGGGUAUAUUUCUUCGGAGAUAGAGACCGGCGCACGGGUGCGUAACGCGUAUGCAAUCUGCCUUUCACAGAGGGAUAGCCCAGAGAAAUUUGGAUUAAUACCUCAUAGUAUUACAGGAUGGCAUCGUCCAGUAAUUAAAGUCACAACGGUGAAAGAUGAGCAUGCGUCCCAUUAGCUAGUUGGUAAGGUAACGGCUUACCAAGGCUACGAUGGGUAGGGGUCCUGAGAGGGAGAUCCCCCACACUGGUACUGAGACACGGACCAGACUCCUACGGGAGGCAGCAGUGAGGAAUAUUGGUCAAUGGGCGCAAGCCUGAACCAGCCAUGCCGCGUGCAGGAUGACGGUCCUAUGGAUUGUAAACUGCUUUUGUACGAGAAGAAACACUGAUUCGUGAAUCAGCUUGACGGUAUCGUAAGAAUAAGGAUCGG
Molecule: ribosomal RNA, 450 nt
Filed under: uncultured bacterium
Lineage: Bacteria
Description: bacterial SSU rRNA
Rfam family: Bacterial small subunit ribosomal RNA
Source: RNAcentral